RNAcentral lists this unclassified non-coding RNA (353 nucleotides) under soil metagenome. Its description in RNAcentral is "partial contains 5.8S ribosomal RNA, internal transcribed spacer 2, and large subunit ribosomal RNA". The stretch from base 2 to 120 matches the Rfam family "5.8S ribosomal RNA", at positions 36 to 154 of the family's 154-position model. The record is from RNAcentral.
UAUGAAGAACGUAGCGAAAUGCGAUAAGUAAUGUGAAUUGCAGAAUUCAGUGAAUCAUCGAAUCUUUGAACGCACAUUGCGCCCGCCAGUAUUCUGGCGGGCAUGCCUGUUCGAGCGUCAUUACAACCCUCAGGCCCCCGGGCCUGGCGUUGGGGAUCGGCGGAAGCCCCCUGCGGGCACAACGCCGUCCCCCAAAUACAGUGGCGGUCCCGCCGCAGCUUCCAUUGCGUAGUAGCUAACACCUCGCAACUGGAGAGCGGCGCGGCCACGCCGUAAAACACCCAACUUCUGAAUGUUGACCUCAAAUCAGGUAAGGAUACCCGCUGAACUUAAGCAUAUCAAUAAGCGGAGGA